Molecule: ribosomal RNA, 440 nt
Filed under: uncultured bacterium
Lineage: Bacteria
Description: partial 16S ribosomal RNA
Rfam family: Bacterial small subunit ribosomal RNA
Source: RNAcentral
CCUACGGGAGGCAGCAGUGGGGAAUAUUGCACAAUGGGGGAAACCCUGAUGCAGCGACGCCGCGUGAGUGAAGAAGUAAUUCGUUACGUAAAGCUCUAUAAGCAGGGAAGAAAAUGACGGUACCUGAGUAAGAAGCCCCGGCUAACUACGUGACAGAAGCCGCGUUAAUACGUAGGGGGCACGCGUUAUCCGGAUUGACUGGGUGUGAAGGGAGCGUAGACGGUGUGCCAAGUCUGGAGUGAAAUGCCGCAGCUUAACUGCUGAACUGCUUUGGAAACUGGCGAACUAGAGUGCAGGAGGGGUAAGCGGAAUUCCUAGUGUAGCGGUGAACUGCGUAGAUAUUAGGAGGAACACCGGUGGCGAAGGCGGCUUACUGGACCGUAACUGACGUUGAGGCUAGAAAGCGUGGGGAGCAAACAGGAUUAGAUACCCGUGUAGUC